GUGCCAGCCGCCGCGGUAAUACGGAGGGUGCAAGCGUUGUUCGGAAUUACUGGGCGUAAAGAGCGUGUAGGCGGUAUGAUAAGUCAGGUGUGAAAGCCCUGGGCUUAACCCAGGAAGUGCAUUUGAUACUGUCAUUCUUGAGUAUGGGAGAGGAGAGUGGAAUUCCUAGUGUAGAGGUGAAAUUCGUAGAUAUUAGGAGGAACAUCCGUGGCGAAGGCGACUCUCUGGACCAAUACUGACGCUGAGACGCGAAAGCGUGGGGAGCAAACAGGAUUAGAAACCCCAGUAGUCC
RNAcentral lists this ribosomal RNA (292 nucleotides) under uncultured bacterium. RNAcentral's name for it is "partial 16S ribosomal RNA". It matches the Rfam family "Bacterial small subunit ribosomal RNA", at positions 505 to 796 of the family's 1533-position model. The record is from RNAcentral.